AUACCAAAGGCUAACACCUGCGGAUUUUUUACCAAGAAUUGGUCUCCACCAAAAAUCCAAGAAUGUGAUAUAUGGCAAAGAAACAUAUGUGGGUGAGGUGUACGAGCAUCUGGUCGAUGAUCAAUGGCCACACAACCCCUAUUUUUGUCGAAAAUAGCCAUGAAUGACCAUUUUCAAUAAUACCAAAGGCUAACACGUACGGAUUUUUUUACCAAGAAAUGGUCUCCACAAGAAAUCCAAGAAUGUGAUCUAUGGCAAGGAAACAUAUGUGGGUGAGGUGUACGAGCCUCUGGUUAAUGAUCAAUGGCCACACAACCCCAUUUUUGUCGAAAAUAGCCAUGAGCAGCCAUUUUCAAUGACACCGAAGGCUAACACCUACAGAUUUUUGACCAAAAAUGGUCUCCACCAUAAAUUCAAUAAUGUGAUCUAUGGCAAGGAAACAUAUGUGUAGUGAGGUGUAUGAGCCUCUGGUCGAAGAUCAAUGACCACACUACCCCCAUUUUUGUCGAAAAUAGCCGUGAACGACCAUUUUCGAUAAUACCGAAGGCUAACAUAUUCGGAUUUUUGACCAAAAAAUGGUCUCCACCAGAAAUCCAAGAAUGUGAUCUAUGGCAAGGAAACAUAUGUGAGGACUGGGGUGAGAUGUAUGAGCCUCUGGCCGAUGAUCAAUGCCACACAACCCCCAUUUUUUGUCGAAAAUAGCCAUGAACGAUCAUUUUCAACAAUACCGAAGGCUAACACGUAUGGAUUUUUGACCAAGAAAUGGUCUCCACUAGAAAUCCAAGAAUGUGAUCUAUGGCAAGGAAACAUAUGUGGGGUGAGGUGUAUGAGCCUUUGGUCGAUGAUAAAUGGCCACACAACCCCCAUUUUUGUCGAAAAUAGCCAUGAACGACCAUUUUUAAUAAUACCGAAGCUAACACCUACGGAUUUUUUACCAAGAAAUGGUCUCCACCAGAAAUCCAAGAAUGUGAUCUAUGGAAAGGAAACAAAUGUGGGGUGGGGUGUACGAGCAUCUGGUCGAUGAUCAAUGGCCACACAACCCCCAUUUUUUGUUGAAAAUAGCCAUGAACGACCAUUUUCAAUAAUAUCGAAGGCUAACACGUACGGAUUUUUGACCAAGAAAUGGUCUCCACCAGAAAUCCAAGAAUGUGAUCCACGGCAAGGAAACAUAUGUGGGGUGAGGUGUAUGAGCCUCUAGUCGAUAAUCAAUGGCCACACAACCCCCAUUUUUGUCGAAAAUAGCCAUGAACGACCAUUUUCAAUAAUAUCGAAGGCUAACACCUACGGAUUUUUGACCAAGAAAUGGUCUCCACCAGAAAUCCAAGAAUGUGAUCUAUGGCAAGGAAACAUAUGUGGGGUGAGAUGUACGAGCCUCUGGUCGAUGAUCAAUGGCCACACAACCCCCAUUUUUGUCGAAAAUAACCAUGAACGACCAUUUUCAAUAAUACCGAAGGCUAACACGUACGGAUUUUUGACCAAGAAAUGGUCUCCACCAGAAAUCCAAGAAUGUGAUCUAUGGCAAGGAAACAUAUGUGGGCGAGGUGUACGAGCCUCUGGUCGAUGAUAAAUGGCCACACAACCACCAUUUUUGUCGAAAAUAGCCAUGAACGACCAUUUUCAAUAAUACCGAAGGCUAACACCUACGGAUUUUUGACCUAGAAAUGGUCUCCACCAGAAAUCCACGAAUAUGAUCUAUGGUAAGGAUACAUAUGUGGGGUGAGGUGUAUGAGCCUCUGGUCGAUGAUCAAUGGCCACACAACGCCCAUUUUUGUCGAAAAUAGCCAUGAACGACCAUUUUCAAUAAUACUGAAGGCUAACACGUACGGAUUUUUGACCAAGAAAUGGUCUCCACCAGAAAUCCAAGAAUGUGAUCCACGGCAAGGAAACAUAUGUGGGGUGAGGUGUAUGAGCCUCUAGUCGAUAAUCAAUGGCCACACAACCCCCAUUUUUGUCGAAAAUAGCCAUGAACGACCAUUUUCAAUAAUAUCGAAGGCUAACACCUACGGAUUUUUGACCAAGAAAUGGUCUCCACCAGAAAUCCAAGAAUGUGAUCUAUGGCAAGGAAACAUAUGUGGGGUGAGAUGUACGAGCCUCUGGUCGAUGAUCAAUGGCCACACAACCCCCAUUUUUGUCGAAAAUAACCAUGAACGACCAUUUUCAAUAAUACCGAAGGCUAACACGUACGGAUUUUUGACCAAGAAAUGGUCUCCACCAGAAAUCCAAGAAUGUGAUCUAUGGCAAGGAAACAUAUGUGGGCGAGGUGUACGAGCCUCUGGUCGAUGAUAAAUGGCCACACAACCACCAUUUUUGUCAAAAAUAGCCAUGAACGACCAUUUUCAAUAAUACCGAAGGCUAACACCUACGGAUUUUUGACCUAGAAAUGGUCUCCACCAGAAAUCCACGAAUAUGAUCUAUGGUAAGGAUACAUAUGUGGGGUGAGGUGUAUGAGCCUCUGGUCGAUGAUCAAUGGCCACACAACGCCCAUUUUUGUCGAAAAUAGCCAUGAACGACCAUUUUCAAUAAUACUGAAGGCUAACACGUACGGAUUUUUGACCAAGAAAUGGUCUCCACCAGAAAUCCAAAAUGUGAUCUAUGGCAAAAAAACAUAUGUGGGGUGAGGUGUACGACCCUCUGUUCGAUGAUAAAUGGCCACACAACCCCAAUUUUUGUCGAAAAUAGCUAUGAACGACCAUUUUCAAUAAUACCGAAGGCUAACACCUACGGAUUUUUGACCAAGAAAUGGUCUCCACCAGAAAUCCAAGAAUGUGAUCUAUGGCAAGAAGACAUAUGUGGGGUGAGGUGUGCGAGCCUCUGGUUGAUGAUCAAUGGCCACACAACCCCAUUUUUGUCGAAAAUAGCCAUGAGCGGCCAUUUACAAUGACACCGUAGGCUAAAACCUACGGAUUUUUGACCAAAAAUGGUUUCCACCAUAAAUCCAAGAAUGUGAUCUAUGGCAAGGAAACAUAUGUGUAGUGAGGUGUAUGAGCCUCUGGUCAAAGAUCAAUGGCCACACAACCCCCAUUUUUGUAGAAAAUAGCCAUGAACGACCAUUUUCAAUAAUACCAAAGGCUAACAUAUUCGGAUUUUUGACCAAGAAAUGGUCUCCACCAGAAAUCUAAGAAUGUGAUCUAUGACAAGGAAACAUAUGUGGGGUGAGGUGUAUGAGCCUCUAGUCGAUGAUCAAUGGCACACAACCCCCAUUUUUGUCGAAAAUAGCCAUGAACAACCAUUUUCAAUAAUACCGAAGGCUAACACGUACGAAUUUUUGACCAAGAAAUGGUCUCCACAAGAAAUCCUAGAAUGUGAUCUAUGGCAAGGAAACUUAUGUGGGGUUUGGUGUACGAGCCUCUGUUCGAUGAUAAAUGGCCAAUUUUUGUCGAAAAUAGCCAUGAACGACCAUUUUCAGUAAUACCAAAAGCUAACACCUACGGAUUUUUGACCAAUAAAUGGUGUCCACCAGAAAUCCAAGAAUGUGAUCUAUGGCAAGGAAACAUAUGUGGGGUGAGGUGUACGAGCCUCUAGUCGAUGAUCAUGGGCCACACAACCCCCAUUUUUGUCAAAAAUAGCCAUGAACGACCAUUUUCAAUAAUACCGAAGGCUAACACGUACGGAUUUUUGACCAAGAAAUGGACUCCACCAGAAAUCAAAAAAUGUGAUCUAUGGCAAGGAAACAUAUGUGGGGUGAGGUGUAUGAGCUUCUGGUCGAUGAUAAAUGGCCACACAACCCCAGUUUUUAUCGAAAAUUGCAAUGGACGACCAUUUUCAAUAAUACCGAAGGCUAACACCUACGGAUUUUUGACCAAGAAAUGGUGUCCACCAGAAAUCCAAGAAUGUGAUCUAUGGCAAGGAUACAUAUGUGGGGUGACGUGUACGAGCCUCUGGUCGAUGAUCAAUGGCCACACAACCCCAUUUUUGUCGAAAAUAGCCAUGAACGACCAAUUUCAAUAAUACCGAAAGCUAACACCUACUGAUUUUUUACCAAGAAAUGGUCUCCACCAGAAAUCCAAGAAUGUGAUCUAUGGCAAGGAAGCAUAUGUGUGGUGAGAUGUACGGCCUCUGGUCAAUGAUCAAUGGCACAUAACCCCCAUUUUUGUCGAAAAUAGCCAUGAACGACCAUUUUCAAUAACACUGAAGCCUAACAUCUACGGAUUUUUGACCAAGAAAUGGUCUCCACUAGAAAUCCAAGAAUGUGAUCUAUGGCAAGGAAACAUAUGUGGGGUGUGGUGUACGAGCCUCUGGUCGAUGAUCAAUGGCCACACAACCCCAUUUUUGUCGAAAAUAGCCAUGAGCGGCCAUUUUCAAUGACACUGAAGGCUAACACCUAUGGAUUUUUUUACCAAAAAUGGUCUCCACCAUAAAUCUAAGAAUGUGAUCUAUGCCAAGGAAACAUAUGUGUAGUGAGGUGUAUUAGCCUCUGGUCGAAGAUCAAUGGCCACACAAGCACCAUUUUUGUCGAAAAUAGCCAUGAACGACCAUUUUCAACAAUACCAAAGGCUAACAUAUUCAGAUUUUUGACCAAGAAAUGGUCUCCACCAGAAAUCCAACAAUGAGAUCUAUGGCAAGGAAACAUAUGUGGGGUGAGGUGUAUGAGCCUCUGGUCAAUGAUCAAUAGCACACAACCCCCAUUUUUGUCAAAAAUAGCCAUGAACGACCAUUUUCAAUAAUACCGAAGGCUAACACGUACGAAUUUUUGACCAAGAAAUGGUCUCCACCAGAAAUCCAAGAAUGUGAUCUAUGGCAAGGAAACAUAUGUGGGGCGAGGUGUACGAGCCUCUGGUCGAUGAUCAAUGGCCACACAACCCCCAUUUUUGUCGAAAAUAGCAAUGAACGACCAUUUUCAAUAAUACCGAAGGCUAACACAUACGGAUUUUUGACCAAGAAAUGGUCUCCACCAGAAAUCCAAGAAUGUGAUCUAUGGCAAGGAAACAUAUGUGGGGUGAGGUGUAUGAGCCUCUGGUCGAUGAUAAAUGGCCACACAACCCCCAUUUUUUGUCGAAAAUAGCCAUGAACGACCAUUUCCAAUAAUACCGAAGGCUAACACCUACGGAUUUUUGACCAAGAAAUGGUCUCCACCAGAAAUCCAAGAAUGUGAUCUACGACAAGGAAACAUAUGUGGGGUGAGGUGUACGAGCCUCUGGUCGAUGAUGAAUGGCCACACACUACAAGAAACUGAUAAAUGUUCGUGGGUAAAAUUAAGAACGUGGGUACCCACGUUCUUACUUGAGUUAAGUUCAUGGGUUAUGUUAAGAACGUGGGUACCCACAUUCUUAAGUUAAGUUCGUGGGCCCUGGAUAAAACCGUCGAACUUAACGAGUUAGGAACGUGGGUACCCACGUUCUUAAGUUAAGUUCGUCGGGCUUGUAGACACCGUCGAACUUAAUCCUGAAAACCUAAAUCAAAAAAACCCACACACGCGCGUCUCUCUCUCUAUCACCCUGUCUCAUCCUGCGCGCCCACACGCGCUCCUCUCUCACCACGCCGUCACCGGGAGCCCACGCCGCCACCGCGCCGUCACCAGAACCGGAACGCGCCGCCGCCCCGACGCUCCGACACGGUAGGUCUUUCUGGUUCCCCUCCGAGGCGCGCGCUCCUCUCUCACCACGUCGUCACCGGGGGCCCACGCCGCCACACGCCGGGAGCCAACGUCGCCACCGUGUCGUCAUCGGGACAGGGCAGGGCCGCCGCCACGCCGCCGCGAGCGGGCCAAGUCGCCGCCCCGACGCCCCAACGCCCUAGCACGGUAGGUCUUCCUGGCUCCCCUCCAUUCCACUUCGUUGUCUGCCAGGCCUGGUGCUUUUCCUAGCUGAUGUAUGCCUUAAAAUGCUUGGUGCUCUCUGAUUACCCUGAUUAAAAAACCCCCAAAGCAUUCGAUAUGGCCACCACCAUUAUAUCAAGUGGAGGAAUAGUCUAGUUUUGGUGCUAUUGUUUAGAAGCCUAAUUGCCUAGUAAAAGGAAGUAUUGGCGAUGUGUUAGAAAAUUUAGAAUAAUACUACCGUGCAAAAGCUGGGUUAGGUUGGACGUUCAACAGCUGGGUCCCACUUGCUAAGAUUCACCUAGCUUGGGGGAUGAUAUAGCAAUUCCGGGGAGGCCAAAUUUGGGGGUUUGGGUUUGAGGUGGAUUAUUGGUUUAUUAGAAUAGUCAUAGAGAACACAAAAGGCGUGCAUAUCUAGGCCAUGACACGUUAGACCCAGGUAAGUGGUUGGUAGUGGGAUUGGACAAGCCCUAGCUUUUGUAUCUUUGGCCAGCUUUUCCAUUUUCUUAUGUUCGCAAAGCAUUCGUACAAUAUGGUUAAGGAUGUUAGUUUGUUAGUUAAAAUUUGAUGCUGAAUUUUUUGGUAGUUGUUACAAUUGAUGCAUAAUUUCUUGUUCAUUGUAGAUUAAUUGAUGUUAGGUUCAAUGUUUUCUUAAACAAUUUUUUAUGUCUAGUGAUUCUUUUUAAUAGGGUUAUUAUACACAGUCUGGAUUUACGUUUAUAUGCUUAAUGAUGUUUAUCUACACAUUUUUUAUACAUUGGGUUAUGUAGAUUUAGAAAUGGAUGACAAUAGAAGAAGGGCGAUGUAUGAUGGAUUCAAUAGCGUGACUCUAGGUCACUCAAAGGAAUGGGUUAGGGUUGCAAAACAAUUCGUGGAUCUCGCAUUUUCCGGUGGACCUCGUGUGGUGAAGUGUCCGUGUACCAAGUGUCGGAAUUUUAAGUAUGUGAGAAAGAUCGAAGAACUGGAGCAUUACCUUUGCAAGAAUGGGUUUAUGCCUAACUAUCUUGUGUGGCGCUCACAUGGAGAAGUAGAGCAGCAUAUCAUAGAGUCAGAAAGAAUUGAUGAUGAUGAGGAGGAUCGGAUGGAUGACUUGGUGGCUGAUAUUAGUAGAGAGUAUCCAACAAUGGCCUCAGAACAGGCUACACUAGAUGAAGUGCAUGAGUUUUAUAAGCUUCUUCACGCGUCAGAUGAAAAAGUGCAUGAGGACACCACUGUGACCGUGUUGCAGGUAGUUACACGUCUUAUGGCAAUGAAGGCAAAGUAUAACUUCUCGAAUAAUUGCUAUAACGAUAUAAUCAAUAUGAUUAUUGAUCUCAUCCCAUCGAACCAUAAGAUGCCAAAAGACUUAUACCAGUCUAAAAAGAUUGUGUCUGGUCUUGGGAUGAAGUAUAAGAAGAUUGAUGUGUGCGAAUAUAAUUGCAUGUUGUUCUGGAAGGAAUAUGAAGCGGCCACCCAUUGUCAGAAAUGCGGUAAAUCAAGAUAUGCGGAGGUACUAAAAUAGGAUGGAGCUACUUUUGCUACAAAAGUGGCAGUUAAGCAGCUUCGAUAUAUGCCCAUCACUCCAAGGCUUAAACGUCUGUUUUUAACCCCAGAAACUGCGAAGCUAAUGUUGUGGCAUAAGGAAGGAGAACGUGAGAUCCAAGACCCAGACAUUAUGAUGCAUCCAUCAGAUGGCGAUGCUUGGAAGGCUCUGGAUCGUUUUGACCCAGAAUUUGCAAGAGACGCUAGGAGUGUUCGUCUAGGCUUGUCCACUGAUGGUUUCACUCCUUACGACAACAGUUCAACUUCAUACUCUUGUUGGCCGGUUUUCAUCAUGCCCUACAACCCCCCCUCCCAACAAAUGCAUGAAAGAAGGGUUCAUAUUUCUUGCCCUUAUUAUUCCAGGGCCUAAACAUCCUGGAAAGAAGAUCAAUGUAUUCAUGCAACCGUUGAUUGAAGAGUUCAAAGAGCUAUUGGUAGGGGUAAAGGCUUAUGAUGGUCAUCUAAAACAUGAAUUUACCUUACGUGUUGUAUAUUUGUGGUCAAUUCAUGAUUUGCCUGCAUAUGGUAUUUGGUCUGGCUGGUGUGUCCACGGUCGACUGUGUUGUCCCAUAUGCAUGGGGGACACACAAGCAUAUCGAUUGGAGCAUGGUAAAAAGGUCUCAUUCUUUGAUUGUCAUCGACGGUUUCUUCCAUCCAAUCACCUGUUUCGAAAUGAUACGAAGUCAUUUAGAAGAGGCAUAAAAGUUAAAGACGGUCCACCAAAACGUUUAAUGGGUGAAGAUAUCAUGAUACAACAUCGUGCGCUUCAAAGGGCUGUAGAAGGUCAUGAGUUUGAAGGCUAUGGUCAAGAUCACAACUGGACUCAUAUUUCUUUUCUCUGGGAACUUCCGUAUGCGAAGGUAUUGAUUUUACCACACAACAUAGAUUUGAUGCACCAAGAGCGCAAUGUUGCUAAAAGCAUCAUAAGCAUGUGUCUAAACAUUAAGGGUAAAACAAAAGACAACAUCAAUGCCAGGAAAGAUUUAGCUAAUCUUGCGAUCGCCCUAGCCUUAAGGUCAAAUUAAAUCCUAAUGGAAAGGAGAGGACACCACGAGCUCCAUACUGUCUAAAGCCGGAAGAGCGAAAAGAAGUAUUUCGAUGGUUGAAAAUGUUGAAGUUUCCAGACCGCUAUGCAGCUAAGAUAAAACGUACCGUUAACCUCGACACUAAUAAAUUAAAUGGUUUGAAGGCUCACGAUUACCAUAUUUUGAUGGAAAGACUUAUGCUAGUAAUGUUCCGUGGCUAUUCGAAGCCUCCUCUAUGGAAGAUGAUUGCUGAAAUUAGUUACAUAUAUAGACAUAUAUGUGCUAAGCAUAUCUCAAAGAAAUUGAUGAUUCAAUUUGAGAAACAAAUCGCGGUGCUUGUAUGCAAGAUGGAAAAUGUAUUUCCGCCUGGAUUUAUGAAUGUGAUGCAACAUUUGCUAGUGCACUUACCUUAUGAAGCAUUGGUAGGAGGACCAGUGUAGUUCCGAUGGAUGUAUAGUCAAGAAAGAGAAUUGAGAAAACUUAGAGCUACUGUGCGGAACAAAGCAAGGGUUGAGGGGUGUAUCGCAGAGGCCUUUGCAGCUAAAGAGAUCACAAUCUUCUCAAGUCAGUAUUUAUCACACACUAACAACAUGAAUGCUCAGUCAACACAGUAUCAUACUGAAGAAGGUCCUUCGACCGACCUUAGUGUUUUUCUCUGGAAGGGGAAAGGGGUCGGGGCUUCUACUGCACAUUAUGUUGACAUAAGAGAGUGUAAUUUCACCAUGCUCUACUUGUACACCAACAUGGAGGAACUUGAUCCAUACUUUGAAAUGUUUGAUUCCAUAUAUUUAGCUGGCCACAAACCUACACCAAAGGAACUGGAUAAUCUACGUAUGAAAGAGAUGAACAGAGGUCUAUGUUUCGUUGAAUGGUUCCACGAGCAUGUAAUUAUCUCUUUAUAAUUUUCCUUUGUGUACUUAGUUUGCACAUACGACUUGCUAUUUACCUAUAUCUUUUUUCUGCUCUAUGUAGUGUAAGAAACUUGACUCUCUAGUCUCGGAUGAUUUGCGACAGAUAUCACAUGGUCAGUUGAAAUCAAGAAAAUAUAGCCACUAUGAUAUUAAUGGAUACCGUUUUCGAACAUCAAAAUUAGAAAAAAUCCACCCGCAGGCAGCCACGACAAACAGUGGAGUAGUAGCAACUGCCACAAAUGCAGACGGAGGCACUCAUGACUAUUAUGGUGUUCUUCAAGACAUAACGGAGUACACUCUUGGUGGGGCCAAAGAGUUCAUGUUUGUGUUAUUUGAUUGUGAAUGGUUUGAUCCUCAACAAACGCGAGAGGAUGAAUUUGGAAUUGUGGAGGUAAAGCAUGAAUCACGGUUUAAAGGCAGCGAUUGUAGCAAUGUUGUGCUUGCACAUCAAGCGCAACAGGUGUACUAUCUAACAUAUCCUCAUGAAAACUUGAAGUCUUGUUGGGUUGUAUACAAAAUUAAUCCUGAAGUCCAUCCAUUACGAUAUGAUUAUUACAACACAAAUAACGAAGAUGAUGAUUCUGUUAAUAUUUAUCAAGAAGAAGGCGAUCAGUCAGAAAAUAGAGAAUUUACUAUAUCUGAGGAUUUAGGGCUCAAUGAAGUAGCUAGUCUCGCCAUAGAUUUGAUGGCAGAAGAACCAGGUCCUUCUAGGGCAAGGACUCGUAAGUCACAGAGAAUUCUUGAAAAACAACAAAGACUUGAAAUAAUUGAGCAGCGCGUUGCUGAAGCAGAUUCUGAUGCCGAUGAUUUUUGAAAAGUAUAUAUAUUUAAAUUCUUGUACAUGCAUUCCUAUUUCAAUACUAAAAGUAUAUAUAAUUAAAUUCUUGUAAUGAAAUUUGUGCAGAUGAUGAGGGUCAUGGACAAGCUCAAAGGGAAGAAGCGCGGAGACCGUGGUGACUCCUCGAGGUCACGGUCGACUAGGGGUUCAGGUGGUGGGGAUACAUCCUCUAUGUUGUUCCAGGUAUUUAAUUUGUUUUAUUUUCUUUUCUUCUACGUAUGUAAUAGUAUUAUCACCUUAUUUUCGAGUACUUGAUAUAUCUCAUUGUUGAUUAUGUUUGUAGGGCUCUACAGCGUCAAGGCAAUGGCUAGAGCAGCUCCUUGGUUGCGUGGAGGAGCAGGGGCGCGAAGUGGAAAGCCAUAGUGCACCUGGGCAAGAGCGCGAGGUGGCAGGCCAAAGUGCACCUGGGCAAGAGUGCGAGGUGGCAGGCCACAAUGCACUUGAGCCGGAGCGUGAGGCAAUAGGCUCAAGUGGACCUAUGCUAGAGCAGGACCACAAUGCAUUUGAGCAAGCGCGCGAGGCGACAUACCAUAAUGCACCUAGGCAGGAGGAUGAGCUUGCACGCCAAGGUUCACCGAUGCGUGAUGAUGAUAACUAUGGGGAGGACUACGAUGGAGAGGCCGAUGGAGAGGCCGAUGACGAGGUUGUUACAACGACACAGGCAACAAACUUCAGGUAAUUUUAUUUUGACGAUGAGUUCUAUUUUUUGUUGGAUUGAUAUUAUUACCAGUGCACAAUUAACAAUUUUGUAGGUUUCGGCGGUCCCUUAGAGUUCCAGCGACACAACCCUUGGACCAACGUAGGGUCAUAACACAGUGCUGGUAUCUGCAGGAGAGAGGAGCUCGGUGGAGGUGGCAUGGAGUGGCAAAGGUCACCGGACACCAGUUAACACAGUGCUGGUAUCUAUAGUUCGUUUUCACUAUCCAGGGGUGGUACAAUUCAACGGGGCAGAGAUAUGGGUGUUUCGCUGGGCUCACUGGGGCCUCAAACCAUAUGGACUCGACCGUACUCACCAAGACGUAGUGUGGUCAUCGUUUUGGGUGAGUUUAUUAUGUCUUUUAAAUUUACUUAUCAUGGGCGUCUAUAAAUGAAUUUAAUGGCUUCUUCAUUUUGCAGGAACAAUUUAGAUUGGACGAUACAGCGAACGAAGAACAUGCAAAACGUGUAUUCCACAAUGCUGCUAGAAAAGUAAUAAAUUGUUCAAUGUCAGAUGCACGGGUCAAAGCUGUUACCGUGUACUUCAAGAAAGUGAAGGGUCAAAGAAUGACCAACAAGCAGGCAUGUGAAAUCCACUUGACAGCUAAGGAGUACAAACAAAGUGAAGUGGACUGGCUGAGAGCACCUAGAGGGGGGGUGAAUAGGUGAUCCUGUAAAACUUAAAACUUAACACCACAAACUUGAUUAAGAGUUAGAACAAUGAAAUCAAGUGAGUAGAGAGGAGAGCUCUUGUGAAGCACAAUAGACACAAUAAGGACAAGCACAAGAGACACGAGGAUUUAUCCCGUGGUUCGACCAAGUACAAAACUUGCCUACUCCACGUUGUGGCGUCCCAACGGACGAGAGUUGCACUCAACUCCUCUCAAGUGAUCCAAUGAUCAACUUGAAUACCACGAUGUUCUUCUUUACUUCACUCUUUCCCGUUUGCGAGGAAUCUCCACAACUUGGAGUCUCUCGCCCUUACAAUAAGAAUCACAAUGAAGCACUAGAGUAAGGGAGGGAAGCAACACACUCAAAUCCACAGCAAAUACGCACACACAAGACCAAGACUUGAGCUCAAAAGAGUAUGACAAGGUUCUCACUAGAACGAAGUUCAAAUCACUAAGACAGUCGAACAAGUGCGCAAGAAUGAAGUUUGAGUGAUCAACAAUGCUCAAGGAAUGCUUGGUGUACUCCUCCAUGUGCCAAGGGGUCCCUUUUAUAGCCCCAAGGCAGCUAGGAGCCGUUGAGAGCAUUCCAGGAAGGCAAUUCUUGCCUUCUGUCGCCUGGCGCACCGGACAGUCCGGUGCACCACCGGAAACUGUCCAGUGCGGAUUUCUUUCCUUCUUUGGCGAAGCCGACCGUUGGCGCUUUGGAGCCGUUGGCGCACCGGACACUGUUCGGUGCACACCGGACAGUCCGGUGCCCCUUCUGACCGUUGGCUCUUGCCACGCGUCGCGCGUGGAUUAUGCGGCCGACCGUUGGCCCGGCCGACUGUUGGCUGACCGGACAGUCCGGUGCACCACCGGACAUUCCGGUGAUUUAUAGUCGUACACCGCCGUCAAAGUCCCGAGAGCGGCCAGUUUGCCAGAGCCAGCCUGGCGCACCGGACACUGUCCGGUGCACCACCGGACAGUCCGGUGUACCCAGACUGAGCAGACUCUUGGCUGCUUCAAGCCAAGCUUUUCCAAUUGUAUUUUCUCUGAUUCUAGCACUUAGACAAACAUGUUAGUACACAAAAACCAAUGUACUAAGUCUAGAAUCAUACCUUUGUAUUGAUUUGCACCUUAUCCACCAUUUGGCAUAGUUUAUCACUUAAGCACUUGUGUUGGACACUAAAUCUCCAAAAUACUUUGAAAUGGCCCAAGGACACAUUUCCCUUUCAAUCUCCCCCUUUUUGGUGAUUUAUGCCAACACAAUAAAAAGCAACUAAAAGAUGUGCAACAUCAAUGCAAAUGAAAACUCAAAUUUGUUUUGAUUCAAAUUUGGCAUAUUUGAUCAUUCUUUGCCACCACUUGGUUUAUUUUUGCAGAUCAAUCCUCAAUUUCCUAUCUCUAAGUCAAACACACUUGUUGAGACAUAAAAAUAGUUGUUCCAAGAGAAAUUGAUCAAAGAUUUCAAAAACUCUCCCUUUUUCCCAUAAUCAACCAUUCUCCCCACAAGAGGCCAACUUUUGACAAAAGAGACAAUAAGAGAUUUUUGACAAACCAAAAGCUCUAUUCUACUAUUUUCAAAAUUCUCAAGUGGUAGCUGAUCCAUUUAUUGGUUUGGCCUUAUUUUCUCCCCCUUUGGCAUCAAGCACCAAAACGGAAUCAAUCUUGGCCCUUUAACCCCAUUGCCUCACCAAAAUCUUCAACUAAGAGUAAAAAGGCGAUAAGAGUACAAAGAUGAACUUGGAAUCAGUUACUCUUUCAUCGGAGUGCAGUGGAAGUCUUGCAUGGUCCAAGUCCACCUUUUCCCUUUCAAACCUCCUUUGAGACUAAAUUAGCAAACUCAAGCACACAGUUAGUCACAAAGGGUCAAGUUGUAGCACAUCUCCCCCUAAAUAUGUGCAUCACUCACACAUGAACUUUUGAGGUCUGGGGAGUGUUGGUACAACUUGAACACCACAAAUACAUAACAAUAUGCAUAAGGGAACAUGAUCAAGGCAUAAAAACACAUGUAUGCUAUAAAUCAAUCCAGGUUCCGCGAAUCUAAGACAUUUAGCUCACUACGCAGCUUGCAAAAGGUCGACUCAUCUAGAGGCUUGGUAAAGAUAUCGGCUAGCUGGUUCUCGGUGCUAACAUGAAACAUUUCGAUAUCUCCCUUUUGCUGGUGGUCUCUCAAAAAGUGAUGCCGGAUGUCAAUAUGCUUUGUGCGGCUGUGUUCAACAGGAUUAUCCGCCAUGCGAAUAUCACUCUCAUUAUCACAUAGGAGUGGGACAUUGCUCAGAUUGUAGCCAAAGUCCCUGAGGGUUUGCCUCAUCCAAAGUAGUUGCGCGCAACACUGACCUGCGGCAACAUACUCGGCCUCAGCGGUGGAUAGGGCAACGAAAGUUUGUUUCUUAGAACUCCACGACACAAGGGACCUUCCUAAGAAUUGGCACGUCCCCGAUGUACUCUUCCUAUCGACCUUACAUCCAGCAUAGUCGGAGUCUGAAUAUCCAAUUAAGUCAAAGGUAGACCCCUUUGGAUACCAGAUCCCGAAGCAAGGCGUAGCGACUAAAUAUCUAAGAAUUCGCUUCACAGCCACUAAGUGACACUCCCUUGGAUCGGAUUGAAAUCUAGCACACAUGCAUACGCUAAGCAUAAUAUCCGGUCUACUAGCACAUAAAUAAAGUAAAGACCCUAUCAUAGACCGGUAUGCCUUUUGAUCAACGGACUUACCUCCUUUGUUGAGGUCGGUGUGUCCGUCGGUUCCCAUUGGAGUCUUUGCGGGCUUGGCGUCCUUCAUCCCAAACCGCUUGAUCAAGUCUUGCGUGUACUUCGUUUGGGAGAUGAAGGUCCCAUCCUUGAGUUGCUUCACUUGGAACCCAAGGAAGUAGCUUAACUCGCCCAUCAUCGACAUCUCAAACUUUUGAGUCAUCACCCUGCUAAACUCUUCACAAGACUUUUGGUUAGUAGAACCAAAUAUUAUGUCAUCGACAUAAAUUUGGCACACAAAUAAGUCACCCUCACAAGUCUUAGUAAAAAGAGUUGGAUCGGCUUUCCCAACCUUGAAAGCAUUAGCAAUUAAAAAGUCUCUAAGGCAUUCAUACCAUGCUCUUGGGGCUUGCUUAAGUCCAUAGAGCGCCUUAGAGAGCUUACACACAUGGUCGGGGUACCAUUCAUCCUCAAAGCCAGGGGAUUGCUCCACGUACACCUCCUCCUUAAUUGGCCCGUUGAGGAAGGCGCUCUUCACAUCCAUUUGGAACAACCUAAAAGAAUGGUGAGUAGCAUAGGCUAACAAUAUGCGAAUUGACUCUAGCCUAGCCACAGGAGCAAACGUCUCCUCAAAGUCCCAACAUGCGACUUGGGCAUAACCUUUUGCCACAAGUCGUGCCUUGUUCCUUGUCACCACCCCGUGCUCGUCUUGUUUGUUGCGGAACACCCACUUGGUUCCCACAACGUUUUGCUUGGGACGAGGCACCAGUGUCCAAACUUCAUUUCUCUUGAAGUUGUUGAGCUCUUCCUGCAUGGCCAACACCCAGUCCGGAUCUAGCAAGGCCUCUUCUACCCUGAAAGGCUCAAUAGAAGAGACAAAGGAGUAAUGCUCACAAAAAUUAACCAAUCUAGAACGAGUAGUUACUCCCUUGCUUAUGUCACCCAAUAUUUGGUCGACGGGAUGAUUCAUUUGAGUCAUCGCUCGAACUUGGGUUGGAGGUGCCGGUUGUGCUUCUUGCUCCAUUAAAUGAUCAUCUUGUGCUCCCCCUUGAUCACACGCCUCCUCUUGAUGAACCUGUUCAUCUUCUUGAGUUGGGGGAUGCACCGUUGUUGAGGAAGAAGGUUGAUCUUGCUCCUUUUGUUCAAGUGGCCUCACAUCUCCAAUCGCCAUGGUGUGUAUUGCGGCCGUCGGAACAUCUUCUUCAGCUACAUCAUCAAGAUCACCAACUUGCUCUCUUGGAGAGCCAUUAGUCUCAUCAAAUACAACGUCGCUAGAGACUUCAACCAAACCCGAUGAUUUGUUGAAGACCCUAUACGCUUUUGUAUUUGAGUCAUAACCUAAGAAAAACCCUUCUACAGCUUUGGGAGCAAACUUAGAAUUUCUACCUUUCUUCACUAGAAUGUAACAUUUGCUCCCAAAUACACGAAAGUAAGACACAUUGGGUUUGUUACCGGUUAGAAGCUCAUAUGAAGUCUACUUGAGGAGGCGAUGAAGGUAGACCCGGUUUAUGGCGUGGCAAGCCGUGCUCACGGCUUCCGUCCAAAAUCGUUCGGGCGUCUUGAAUUCACCAAGCAUCAUCCUCGCCAUGUCUAGUAGCGUCCUGUUCUUCCUCUCUACCAUGCCAUUUUGUUGUGGUGUGUAGGGAGCGGAGAACUCAUGCUUGAUCCCUUCCUCCUCAAGAUACUCCUCCACUUGAAGGUUCUUGAACUCGGACCCAUUGUCGCUCCUUAUCUUCUUCACUUUGAGCUCAAACUCGUUUUGGGCUCUCCUUAGGAAGCGCUUGAGGGUCCCUUGGGUUUCAGAUUUAUCCUACAAAAAGAAUACCCAAGUGAAGCGGGAAAAAUCAUCAACUAUAACAGGACCAUACUUACUUCCUCCUAUACUUAGAAAGGCGACGGGUCUGUAGAGGUCCAUAUGAAGUAACUCCAGGGGUCUUGAUGUUGUCAUCACAUUUUUGGCAUGAUGAGAGCUUCCCACCUGUUUACCUGCUUGACAAGCUGCACAAGGUCUAUCUUUUUCGAAGGUUACAUUAGUUAGACCUAUCACGUGUUCUCCCUUUAGAAGCUUGUGAAGGUUCUUCAUCCCCACAUGUGCUAAGCGACGAUGCCACAGCCAGCCCAUGCUAGUGUUAGCAAUUAAGCAUGCAUCUAGACCGACCUCCUCUUUUGCAAAAUCAACUAAAUAAAGUUUGCCGUCUAGUACACCCUUAAAUGCUAGUGAACCAUCACUUCUUCUAAAGACAGACACAUCUACAUUUGUGAAUAAACAGUUAUAUCCCAUAUUACACAGUUGACUCACAGACAACAAGUUAUAUCCAAGCGACUCAACUAAGAACACAUUAGAAAUAGAGUGUUCGGAUGAAAUAGCAAUUUUUCCUAACCCUUUCACCUUGCCUUGGUUCCCAUCACCGAAUAUGAUUGAAUCUUUGGGAUCCUUGUUCUUGACGUAGGAAGAGAACAUCCUCUUUUCCCCCGUCAUGUGGUUUGUGCAUCCGCUGUCGAUAAUCCAGCUUGAGCCCCCAGAUGCAUAAACCUACAAGGCAAAUUUAGGCUUGGGUCUUAGGUACCCAACUCAUGUUGGGUCCUACAAGGUUAGUUACAAUAGUCUUAGGGACCCAAAUGCAAGUCUUGUCUCCCUUACAUUUGCCCCCUAAUUUCCUAGCAAUUACCUUCUUAUCCUUUCUACAAAUAGCAAAGGAAGCAUUGCAAGUGUAAUAAAUUGUAGAAGGUUCAUUCAUUACUUUCCUAGGAGCAUGAACAAUAUUUCUUCUAGGCACAUGAUGAACAACAUUUUUCCUUGCCACAUUUCUAUCAUGCAUAAUAGAAGAACUAGAAACAAUCAUGGCAUGAGAAUCAAAAGCAUCAUAACUUCUAUAAACAUCCCUAGAAUGUCUCUUAUCAUGAUACAUGAAAGCAUGGUUCUUUUGAACACUACUAGCCAUAGGGGCCUUCCCUUUCUCCUUGGUGGAGAUGGAAGCCUUAUGACUUGUUAAGUUCUUGACUUCCCUCUUGAAGCCAAGACCAUCCUUAAUUGAGGGGUGUCUACCAAUCGUGUAGGCAUCCCUUGCAAAUUUUAGUUUGUCAAAUUCACUCUUGCUAGUCUUAAGUUGGGCAUUAAGACUAGCCACUUCAUCAUUCAAUUUAGAGAUUGAAACUAGGUGUUCACUACAGGCAUCAACAUUAAAAUCUUUACACCUAGUGCAAACUACAACAUGUUCUACACAAGAUGUUGAUUUAUUAGCUAUUUCUAACUUAGCACUCAAAUCAUUAUUUAUGCUCUUAAGCUAGAAAUAGAGUCAUGACAUGUAGACAAUUCACAAGAAAGCAUUUCAUUCCUUUUAAUUUCUAAAGCAAGGGAUUUUUGCGCCUCUACAAACUUAUCAUGUUCUUCAUACAAAAGAUCCUAUUGCUUUUCUAAUAACCUAUUUUUAUCAUUCAAGGCAUCAAUUAAUUCAUUAAUAUUAUCUACCUUAGUUCUAUCUAGGCCCUUGAAUAAACAUGAAUAGUCUAUUUCAUCAUCGCUAGAUUCUUCAUCACUUGAGGAAGCGUAAGUACUAGUAUCAUGAGUGCUUACCUUCUUUUCCCUUGCCAUGAGGCAGGUGUGAUGCUCAUUAGGGAAGAGGGCCGACUUGUUGAAGGCGGUGGCGGCGAGUCCUUCAUUGUCGGAGUCGGACGACGAUCAAUCCGAGUCCCACUCCUUUCCAAGGUGUGCCUCACCCUUAGCCUUCUUGUAAGCCUUCUUCUUUUCCCUCUUGUUCCCUUGUUCCUGGUCACUAUCAUUAUCGGGACAAUUAGCGAUAAAAUGACCAAUCUUACCACAUUUGAAGCAUGAGCGCUUCCCCUUCGUCUUGGUCUUGUUGGGAUGCUCCUUGCGACCCCUUAGCGCCGUCUUGAAACGCUUGAUGAUGAGGGCCAUCUCUUCCUCAUUGAGCCCUGCCGCCUCAACUUGUGCCACCUUGCUUGGUAGCGCUUCCUUGCUCCUCGUUGCUUUGAGAGCAAUGGUUUGAGGCUCUUGGAUUGGGCCAUUCAACGCAUCAUCAACGUAUCUAGCCUCCUUGAUCAUCAUCCACCCGCUUACAAACUUUCCAAGUAUCUCCUCGGGCGUCAUCUUGGUGUACCUAGGAUUCUCACGAAUAUUGUUCACAAGAUGUGGAUCAAGGACAGUAAAAGACCUUAGCAUUAGGCGGACGACGUCGUGGUCCGUCCAUCGCGUGCUUCCAUAGCUCCUUAUUUUGUUGACGAGGGUCUUGAGCCGGUUGUACAUUUGGGUUGGCUCCUCGCCCCUGAUCAUCGCGAAUCUCCCAAGUUCGCCCACCACCAACUCCAUCUUGGUGAGCAUGGUGACGUCGUUCCCCUCAUGAGAGAUUUUGAGGGUGUCCCAAAUCUGCUUGGCGUUAUCCAAGCCGCUCACCUUAUGGUAUUCAUCCCUGCACAAUGAAGCUAGAAGAACAGUAGUAGCUUGUGUAUUUUUGUGAAUUUGCUCAUUAAUGAACACCGGACUGUCUGUACUAUCAAAGUGCAUUCCAUUCUCUACUAUUUCCCAUAUACUUGGAUGGAGAGAGAACAAGUGGCUACGCAUUUUGUGACUCCAAAAUCCGUAGUCCUCUCCAUCAAAGUGGGGGGGGGGGGGUUACCGAGGGGAAUGGAAAGCAUAUGAGCAUUGGAACUUUGCGGAAUACGAGAAUAAUCAAAGGGAAAGUUUGAAUUAACCGUCUUCUUUUUCUCAUAGUCGUUGUCGUCGUCCUUUUGGGAUGAGGAAGAUUCGUCGCUGUCGUAGUAGACUAUCUCCUUGAUGCGCCUUGUUUUCUUCUUCCUCCCGUCUUUUCUUUUGUGACCCGAGCCUGAGUCAGUAGGCUUGUCAUCCUUUGGAUCAUUGACGAAGGACUCCUUCUCCUUAUCAUUGACCACCAUCCCCUUUCCCUUAGGGUCCAUCUCUUCGGGCGAUUAGUCCCUUUCUUGAAGAGAAUGGCUCCGAUACCAAUUGAGAGCACCUAGAGGGGGGGGGGUGAAUAGGUGAUCCUAUAAAACUUAAAACUUAACACCACAAACUUGAUUAAGAGUUAGAACAAUGAAAUCAAGUGAGUAGAGAGGAGAGCUCUUGUGAAGCACAAUAGACACAAUAAGGACAAGCACAAGAGACACGAGGAUUUAUCCCGUGGUUCGACCAAGUACAAAACUUGCCUACUCCACAUUGUGGCGUCCCAACGGAUGAGAGUUGCACUCAACUCCUCUCAAGUGAUCCAAUGAUCAACUUGAAUACCACGGUGUUCUUCUUUACUUCACUCUUUCCCGUUUGCGAGGAAUCUCCACAACUUGGAGUCUCUCGCCCUUAUAAUAAGAAUCACAAUGAAGCACUAGAGUAAGGGAGGGAAGCAACACACUCAAAUCCACAGCAAAUACACACACACAAGACCAAGACUUGAGCUCAAAAGAGUAUGACAAGGUUCUCACUAGAACGGAGCUCAAAUCACUAAGACAGUCGAACAAGUGCGCAAGAAUGAAGUGUGAGUGAUCAACAAUGCUCAAGGAAUGCUUGGUGUACUCCUCCAUGUGCCUAGGGGUCCCUUUUAGCACCAAGGCAGCUAAGAGCCGUUGAGAGCAUUCCAGGAAGGCAAUUCUUGCCUUCUGUCGCCUGGCGCACCGGACAGUCCGGUGCACCACCGGACACUGUCCGGUGCAGAUUUCUUUCCUUCUUUGGCGAAGCCGACUGUUGGCGCUUUGGAGCCGUUGGCGCACCGGACACUGUCCGGUGCACACCGGACAGUCCGGUGCCCCUUCUGACCAUUGGCUCUUGCCACGCGCCGCGCGCGGAUUAUGCGGCCGACCGUUGGCCCAGCCGACUGUUGGCUCACCGGACAGUCCGGUGCACCACCGGACAGUUCGGUGAUUUAUAGCCGUAUACCACCGUCGAACUCCCGAGAGCGGCCAGUUCGCCAGAGCCAACCUGGCGCACCAGAUACUGUCCGGUGCACCACCGGACAGUCCGGUGUACUCAGACUGAGCAGACUCUUGGCUGCUUCGAGCCAAGCUUUUCCAAUUGUAUUUUCUCUGAUUCUAGCACUUAGGCAAACAUGUUAGUACACAAAAACCAAUGUACUAAGUCUAGAAUCAUACCUUUGUAUUGAUUUGCACCUUAUUUACCAUUUGGCAUAGUUUAUCACUUAAGCACUUGUGUUGGACACUAAAUCACCAAAAUACUUAGAAAUGGCCCAAGGGCACAUUUCCCUUUCACUGGCUCACUGCUCAUCCUGAAGCUUGGGUCAAGCUCUGCGAGUACUGGGCCUCAGAUGAGUACAAAGUGAUUUCAGAUAGAAAUCUUUUGAACCGGAAGAGCAAACCGGGCCUCCAUCGAUUUGGAGCAGAUGGAUUUAUUGGGAAAUCACAACGAAUGGUAUGACGAGCUAAGUAACAUUUAGUCUUUUUCCCUCAGACAAAUUUAUAUAUUUUAUUAUGUCUCUUACUGCAGGAGGCUCGUGAUGGUGUUGAACCCCGAUUCAUUGACGUUUACAUGGAGGGACACCGAGGUCCAGAUCCAGAGCAUCGAGAAGUUUUAUGUGAGGACAGCGCGAUAGAAAAGCUGGUAGGUGUAAAUAAUAACUAUCUAUUCUUAAUUAACUUGUGACUCAUUUAUAAUUAACAUAAAUUGUUUUGUAGACUCGUUAUGCAGAGGAGGUUAGGAGGAAAGCAGGAGACGAUGAUCUAGAUUGGAGGGAGGCACCUUUCGAUCCGGAUGCAACAUAUGUUGCUGGUGGUGGGCUACCACAUGGGAGGUAUGAUAAGAUCAAAGUUGUGAUAUAUAAAAACUAUUGGUUCUUAACUUGUGAUGUUUCUAGGUUGGGGAUCGGUGAUGGGGUUGUGAGUCGCGAUAGCUUUAGUCGUCGGUCUGUUUCCUCGGGUGGGAGUAGAUCUCGAACUUCAACUUCAAGGGAAUCAGAGCUUGAUGAGCAACUAAGACAACAACAACAACAAGUACAACAACUAUCUCAACAAGUUCAGAUGAUGCAGGGAAUGCUGAUGCAGGUAAUAAUUUUAGUAAUCCGCUCAGAAUCUCCCCAAUCUCAGAAUCUGCCCAUAUUUUUUUACCUAACUCGCUCUGAGCCUUAGACAGCCCAAAAUCGGUCUGGUCAAUUGUUGAGUGAUUUCUGCAUUUAUUAGGAGGUUGUCACAGUCUGAUUUGUAGCUCACGUUGACUAUAUUAGAACAGGAAAAACCAGAAAUUAAAAGGCUAAGGCAUUCCAGACACCAAAAACACUAUGUCCUGUGAUAUGAACAUGAUAAUGAUCAUGACAUCGGCUUUAAUUUUGCUAUUAUAGUUUCAGAUUCAAACUAAAUUGAGACUAAUUACUAGGCAUUCCAGGAAAAAGGAUGUGAGAAGUAGCAGGUAUGUGAAAGCUGAUCUGCUUUACUAUCCCAACUUCUAACCCUAACUCACUACUCAGAUAAUCAUUAGAAUUUAGCUUUGUAAGUCUGCUCGAGAAAUGAGUACAUGAAAUUUCUGAUUUGAUCAGACACAAAAUAGGUUAAAAAUUCAGUGGAAUAAUCUAAAGAUGCCCACGUUGAACACACAAGUACAUGGUGGGUUGAACAUGCUCUUUUGUGCAUUCUCCAAUCAAACAAAUAAGCUAUUUAAUACAAAUAAUGAGCAAAAUUAGAUAAAAUUCCAUCAUUUUCUCUGUAGGCUUAUGUCAAUCAAACAAGUAAAUAUGACACAACAAGAUUCAUCUGUGACACCCCAGGUGUCUAUUUCGUGUUAUGUCGGAAGAAUUAUCCUAAUCUCAGAUGCUUAGUGAAAAUUUCUAUUUCUCGAUCGUGUCUAUCUCUGUCUAUCAGGCUUUCUCAUAGAAGUUCACUGAAUUCGGAGUUAUUCGAUCGCGAGAAACAACCAAUUUUGGAGCGUGUUAAAACUUUUACUUCUCGGCACGAAGGCAAACUCGAUAGUCAAUCUCGAAUUAUAAAUCUCAUCUGAAGCUCAUUAAAUCAAACUCUCGACAGCUGUUAUUUGGUCUGAGCCCGAGUUUAAUUCCUCGAACUUUGAUCGAUGUCCGACUAUUUUAAUCCGAGUUCGUACUCUCAAACGGAAUACUCAAUAUGUCGUCCUCAAAUAAAUUCUUAUCUGAUUCGGCUUAAUAUCUCUAUAUCUAAUCUGAUUUUAAAAAUCACCAUCGGCGAUAAUUUUUAAUGUCGCGAAUUAUCUCUUUCGAUCAUAAGUCCGAAAGCCGGUCAUAUCUCAAGACGAUUUAUUUUCGAAUCAUGCGUAGGGAAUUAUUUCGAGCGAAAUCAAAUCAGACUCUCGGCCGAAUUAAUCGCUCAAUCGUUCGUUCGUCCGAACUCUCGUUCACUCUGUUUUGCGUACCGACGAAAUCCGCACGAGCCUUUUUCCGGAAAAUUUUUAGCGCAGCCCGAUUACAUGUUUUGGGCCAAGCCCAUUCCAGCCCGUCCCAUUUGGCCCAUGAGAAAACCCUAAGCCUAGUGCCCCUUCUAUAAAUAGGAGCCCUCUCCUAGCAACUGGAGGCAUUUUUGCACUCCCACCCCUCCAAUUUUUCCCAGCCGCCAGCUUCUUCCUCCCUGCUCCACGGCAGUAGCAGCCAGCGCGCAGGAGCUCCUUCCCCUCGGCCAGCCAUGGCGCGACGCCCCCUGCUCCUUCUUCCUCGCACAGCAGCAGCCGAGCGCCCUCCUUGCUCCUCCUCCUGGCGAGCGGCUGCAGCAGGAAGUCGUCUUCUCCGUGGUCGGCCAGCAACCUUGUGGGUCGAGCUCCCCCAGGUUUCCCUCUGCUGUCCAUGGCGUGGGCGAGCUCUGAUCCAUGGCGCCCUCCUCCCCUUCUUCUUCCUCAAGCCAGCAGGCACCUCCCUCUACUCCCUGUGCGCAGCGCCCCCUUCAGGCUUUGCAGCAGGGACAACCAAGAAAUGGACAAGCUUCCUCCCUGCUCCCAUAUUGGCUCGCCCCCACCCUUUCUUGUACCUCCAGCAGCAAGAAGCCGGUGCCCCUCUCCAUUUUCCCCUGCUCCAUGGCGCCCUUCCUCUCUCUGAUGUCCAUGGCGCCAAGCAGCAGCCCCCUCCCUUCCAUGGUGCCCCUGCAAAUCUUCCCCUUCCUCCCCGUGCUCCUCUCCUUGUUGCAGCACCUGGAACGCAGCAACAGCCCUGCGCAGCACCCCUGCUCAAGCCCCUCUCCCAAGAACAACACCUUGUCGCCUUCCUAGGACAGCCCCUUCCCUUGCUCCUUUCCAAUGUGCGCAAGGUGCUCGACGAAAUGUGCAGCAGCCCUGACGUCCUCGCGCGCUGCCUGUUCGCUGUAUUGUGAAGCGCAGUGAACAACACGCCGUCGACACUCGCCGGUUGUUUGCUGUUUUUGCGCAGCCCCGUCGUCAUCGUCGUUCACCCCCGGUGAGACCACGACGCUCCUUGUUUGAUUCCACAUCGGCAUUAUUCUUCGGUGAUUAAUUGUGUAUAUGUGCUGUUUUGUUUUGUUUUGUGGAGGAGAGGAAACCCGUGUUGUGUAUGGAGGAGAAGGCAAGUCGUUCAACGCUCGUUGGAUGUUCGGAGCGAUGCACAAAUCGGAACCGCCAUUGUCCUUACAAACAUCGAUUGGGUUUGUUUAUGGUGAGCCGAUGCAUGUCGCUCUCGAUCGACUCAAUUAAUUAUUUUGAAUGGAUGUGUGUAAAAUGUUUCGGUUAUGCGCAUUGGUAGAAUCGCGUUUGCGAUUAAAGAACAAGAGGUUAUUUGAUGUAUGCGAUUUGUAGUUAGUCUAAUUAGGUUUUGGUCGAUGAUGUGCAUGUGUGAUUAUGUGUGUGAAAAUACAUUUGUAUGAAUGGAAGCGUGUAGAGAAGAAAAUGAAGUAGAAAAGAACUCCGAUGUUUUUAUAUCUUGCUAGGAAAAAUAUGCGAUGCGUUGUUUGAUGCGAAAAACUAAGUUACAAAAUGCGGAUUAUGUUUUGGGAAAUGCAUCGAUAUGUGCUUAUGUGAAAAGUGUAUUUGUUUAUGCGAUGUGAUGGGAUUGGUGACUAUAUAGGGAGUAUAUUUAUUGAUGUGACGGGUAGUUUAGAGAGUGCUAGUUUGCAUGGAGGAUGUAUUGUUAAAACAUGAGUAUCGGAGUUCAUAUAUUAGUGGUCGCGCCACGUUGAUUGAAGUGUCUCGAGUGCACGCCACCAUAUGGUUGUAUGCGAGACGUGGUUAUGCGCAUGAUGAGUUUAGUAAAAAUCCAUCGGUGUCACUAGUGUUAAGUUGAGGUUAAUUUGCUCGUGGACAGUAACAUUGUGUUUAAUACUUAGAACUCUUAGUCGAUAGUAGAAAUUGUUUUGGCUUAUAUAGAGAGGUGGUGACAUGCCAAGUAGUCGUCGCUUUCUCUAUAAUUAUAAGUCGAGUCGUGACGAUGCGUACAUAGUUCGUCAAAUGGAGUUUCGCAGAUAGUGUAUGAUUGUGCUUACGAUUUCGAGUAGACACUUAAAAUAAGUCAGGUAGGUUUGUAAUGCAAGAUGUGUGAUGAAGUUAGUUUGUUUUAGGAUAUUUGUUGAAAUGUUCCAUUCAUGUGAUAGACAUGUGUGGUUAAUUCAAAUCGAGUCGAUGUGUGUGACGAUGAUAUUCAUGAAUUAAGUAGAUGUCCUGAAAUUGUGUAGUGAAGCUUAGGUUAAGUUGCAAGCGAUGUGGGGAUGUUUUGGUAAAGAUGUAUGUGAAUUGUGAACAAGUCAUUUAACAUAGUAGGCAUAUCGUGUAGUGGUGGUAUGAAAAAUGGGUUAGGAAUCGAUCGGCUAAAUGCCAAGUUCGGUUAGAGUUAUUUUGCUACUUGGGAUUGUGGGGUGAAGUGAUGGCAUGACUACGUAGCCUUCACCUCAUCUAUUGUGUGACUAUGCUUAAGUGUGCCUUGAUAUAAGUUAGAAUAAGUCGAGUCUCUAGAACGCGGCAAUUUUUGAAGUAAAUAGAAGCUGAAUUUUAUUAAUUGCUGUUUUGGGCUGCACGCGCUGUUUUUGUCGUGCUGUAUGUUUGAUGAACUAAAUUGUAUUUUCUGUAGAUAUGUGCCAUAGAAAAGGGGUAUAUAACUUUAUUAUCUUGCUGGUGUUAAAAUUUGACAGGCAUAAGUCUGAUCGUUUAGGAGUUAUGUUUUUUACAAAUUCAGUAACUAAAUCUGUCUAAUUUCUAUACAGAUUUCAGAAACUGCAUUGUUUGCUUAGGUUAAUGUUAGAAUCAGUCCUUGUCAAUUAUAAGAAAGUUGUAGAUGCUUUUCUUAUCUUGCUUGUGUUAAAAGUUCAUAAUCAUAGGCCUGAUAGUUUAAGAGUUAUGAAUUUUACAAACUGGUUGCUGUGUUCUGUCCACUGUCAGAACAGAUUUCGAAAACUGUAUUGUUUGAUUUAGUUAAAUAUUGAAUCACUUCAUGGUGAUUAUAAACUUUGUGUAUUACUUUUGCUAAACUUUCUAAAAAGUCUUGGAUCACUAUUUUUGGUGGUCUGAAGAUUAAGUUAUGGAUGUUUAAAGUCUGAAGACUGAAUCUGUCCAAUUCUGGACAGCAAAGCCUUCUAAUGUAUUUUACCCUUGAUACAUAUUCAAUUAACCUGAGAUGUUUAUAAAUGAUUUGUAGACAAUUUUAUUAUCUUUCCAGAAAGUCUAAGAUCACUUUGUUUGGAUGUCUGAAUCUUUAGUUAUGAAUUUUUAAAGUUACAGGUCUGAAUCUGUCCAAAUCUGGAUAGAUCUGUUGUGUUAGCACUUUUGACCUUGCUAAGUGUUGAAUCAUAUUGUAAUGACAAUACCAAAGUUGUAGAGCACUUUCUAAGCUUUCUAGAAAGUAUUAGUUUGAUAUUUUUGGAUUAAUAUUUGAAGAGUUAUGAUUAAAACAAGUAACUGAUGUGCUGCUGUCCUAAAAAUCUGCAUGUGCGCAUUUGAUUGUUUAGUUCAGCCUUUUUGCUAAAAAUGCUUGGUUAGCUCUUAAUUAAUGUAGACUUGUCAUAACUAAGCUUAGUAAUGCACGUGUGUCAUGUUUUAGAUGUGUCCUUCUCUAUUUGAUUGUGAUAUAUGAAUUCCAUAGAAAUUGGUGCAUAGGUCCUCCGUUAAACGUGUGUUUGGAAUGCUUUUGUAUGAUCGCUAGAAGAACUAAUGAAAUGCCGUAUUAAAUUAAAUAAAUGCUUAUGCCCGUGAUGUUGUGUUGUGGUGGCUAUGUAUAUGAUAGUGUUUGUCGGUUCUUAGUAGUGUUAAAUUCGUAGGUCAAUAACGUAUGGCUAAUUAGCACCUACAUAUGAUCGUUGGCGGUACCGUGUCUCGCGCCUUAUAUCUAGCUCGCUACCGUGUGUCUUUAUAUACCUUGUGCUAUUUCAUUAUAUUAAUACAUAUGCAUCCUGCAUCUCAUUUAGGACCGAGAGAUGAUGAUCUUGCAAGUGAUGUGGUGCCACCCACAAGAUGCAGUCGGUGGAUGACCCAAGAAAGGAUGGACAUGACCAGUGGAUGCUCGCCAAGCGAGUACCCCCAGCAAACACUAUCUAAGUGUUAAAUAAAAGGCAAGCCCCGGUUUUAUGCAUAACCAUUUAUAUAUGCUAUUUUACUACACUUAAUGUUUGUAGGCUUGUACUGUGCACUUAAGUGUAGGAGUUGCCUGAAACCAUAGUUGCAUGAACUCAGGAUUCCUUUUGAAAUGGAUACUAGUAUGCUAGGUCGAGUAGCUGCUUUGCUAUUUAGGGAUCUCAGUAGAAGUCGAGUGAUUUUUCUAGCACUCGCGCGAGGUCAGGAAUUGGUUGUAUCCAUUUUUGAUAACAUAAUGAUGAUGGUCUGUGGACACGGAUCCAUGGGGAUGCGUUGUCUACGAGAUGAGAAAUUGGAAUAAGGAUUAAUGUGCGGAUACCUAUGUCAAGCGUUUGAACGUACUAAGCACAUGUCGAGAAAUAUGGUAAAUCGAUAAGCCUAGAACCUGAGUUAACCUGCCCGCAGAUUGCCCUCCUCACGCGACCUGAGACGUGGUCUCCCAUUCCGGUUAUGGUGGGUACAAGUGCGGUCACUGCACGACGGCAGUCGGGGUAAGUGAGGCAUUGUACGCCAAGGCGGUGAGCCCCUUUCUGUUGCUAGGGAAUCGAUGGGGACGGUUGAUGUGUGUGGGGACGGAGUGCCUCGCCAUGUCGUGUGUUUAGGUUUACCUUGCAAGGUUUAAAAACUCGAUUUGAAUCGUCUUCUUCUCGCAGUUAAUGAGACUGCUUGAUCAAUUGUACUGCAUUGAGUAAUAAGUGGAAAUGAGAUGGCAAAAAGAUGUUGAUUGAUAAAAAUGUUUGAUACCAUGUAUGAAUAGCUAGGUACUCAUCUAGUUUAAAAAGGAUCAUACUAAAACUUGAAAAGCUAAAACUUGAUUUUAGACUCAGCUAGUGCUUUUGGCAAACCAAACCCCUCAGCCAAACAGCUGCAUGUCUGGAGGUAGAGGAGUAGACUCCUAACACCGGGUAAGUCUAGCUGAGUAUUAGUAUACUCAGCCUUGCUUGUGGCAUAAUUUUUGUAGGUACAUCCUUGAUUUUGGUUGAUGGUGUGACUUGGCCUCCAUCGCUGGCACCGGGAUAGACGGUCGAGUGGGUUACUGCUUCUGCAGGAGAGGACCAGGAGGAGUAGCGUGGCCAAGCUUCACCAUGUUACUCGGUUUUCUCCGUUAGUUAUUUCCGCUGCAUUAAAAUUUAUGGUUAUUAUUUCUGAAACUCCGAUAAUGUAAUCACUAAUGAUACUUACUAAAUUUGUGGUAUUAUGCUUUAUUGUAUUUCUCUGUGCCUCACCUUCGUGUGAGCUAGUGGUAUUCGAUCCUGGUCAAGUGGCUUUAUCGGACUAGAUCCGAGGGACUGACGAUUUAUUCCUAUUUAAGUGUGGUCUAGCCUCUAAGGCGGGACUUAGGUACUUAAGUUGGAAUAAUUCGGGCGGUUCCGCCACAUCAGGAACUGUGCUACUAAAACACGAUACCAGUCCAGCAGUUGCCCAUGGUCUGAUGACAAGCACCCACUGCAACCAGCAUUCUUAAUGAUGAUACCAUUUUACAGUCCACAUCCCUCACCAAAAUGUAGCGCUGUUUCAGAAGAAACUGACUGGACAAGCUAUUACACUAGUACAACUGGUAACUGUAAAAAUCAGGUCCAUGACAACUCAAUGGCUCAGUGUUAUAGAUCUAAAAGAGUCAGAGCUUAGAGUGACCACUAUGAACAGAUCACUUCAAAGCUUAAGUUCAGUUUGAAUCUUUAGGUGAACUGACAGAGACAAUGUCAUGUCAAUAUAAUACCAAGCUUCAACAUCAUCUCUGCCCACAGCUAGGUUAAGGUGUAGUAAACAACAAUCCAUUAAAUAAAUAUUAAAAUAUGAGGAUCCUGAAUUCUAUGGUACAUACAUAUGAACAUCGUACACCCGGGCAUUGUGCCCCCAUUCACCAAGAAAUUAUACUGCCAUUCGUGCCCCCAAACAAGAAGGGCGGACCUGGCAGCGGUAGAGCCUAUUGUGGUUUUGAGCCUUAGUCUUGCAUCUGCAAUAAUCUUGUCUUUUUGUUUAGUCAUUACCGUGUCAAUAUGACCCAUUGUUUUUUUGAGAUUCACAAAGCAUUGAACUGAAAAGUUAUGAGUUGAGCUGGCAUCUUUUCCCAUAUGUUUCAGAAAAGCACAAUCAUCUCCAUCAUUAACUUUCUUCCAGUUUUAAAACCCUGAGACAGUGAAAGUAUCUGAGCCACUCCUUCCAAUUGGCUUCUUUGAAAAUAUAAAACAAGGCAAGCAAUAUGCACGAUUUGUGUGUGUUGAAUAUUCAAGCCAUUUAAAUUGUUGAAACCAGCUACUUUUGAAUCGAUGACGCUGAUUUAAAUCAUUCAUUGGGUACUCAUCCAACAUUGGCUGAUAUGGCCCCUCAAAUAUAUAAAAUCGACGAGCUUCAUCUUGCUGAUCAGCAGGGAGUUCAAAAAUCUAGACACAUUUUCCUGGAUCUCUCUCAAAUCGUGUCGCUAAUAUUGUUUGUUCAGUCUCUGGCUGUGCAGUAGCUACAUCAGCCUCGACUUGAGCAGUAGUAGUAGCAUUUGUUGGAUAAGUAGGACUUUCAGUUUCAGCAUGGACAUCAGCAGCUACCAAAGUGCUAGAAUCAACUGGCUUAAAGAAACAAUGAAGUGUUUUUCUUGGUCUCUUUUGACUCUUCAUAUCUUUAUUGAACUAAAAUUGAAAGCUAAAAUAAGAUGAGGAGCAAGAUUAUCAGAUUUGAGAUUUUGGGUAGAAAUAGCAAUACUGACCUACCGAAACCGAAGUGCCGAGCAGGAGCAGGCGAGCAGACUGCACUACUGCAGACCAGCAGACAGUAGUCAGCCGUCAGCCCGUCACCAGACGAGGCGCCGAGCAUCCCGAGAUGAAGGCUGAAGUAGUGAGAUUAAGUAAAAAUAAUAUUGGUUUUAUUUUAGAUAGUUCAUGAAAUGGCCACAUAACCCCCAGAAAUCCAAAAAUCCAAGAAUGUGAUCUAUGGCAAGGAAACAUAUGUGGGGUGAGGUGUACGAGCCUCUAGUCGAUGAUCAAUGGCCACACAACCCCCAUUUUUGUCGAAAAUAGCCAUGAACAACCAUUUUCAAUAAUACCGAAGGCGAACACCUACGGAUUUUUGACCAAGAAAUGGUCUCCACCAGAAAUCCAAGAAUGUGAUCUAUGGCAAGGAAACAUAUGUGGGCUGAGGUGUACAAGCAUCUGGUCGAUGAUCAAUGGCCACACAACCCCCAUUUUUGUCGAAAAUAGCCAUGAACGACCAUUUUCAAUAAUACCGAAGGCUAACACCUACGGAUUUUUGACCAAGAAAUGGUCUCCACCAGAAAUCCAAGAACGUGAUCUAUGUCAAGGAAACAUAUGUGGGGUGAGGUGUACGAGCCUCUGAUCGAUGAUCAAUGGCCACACAACCCCCAUUUUUGUCGAAAAUAGCCAUGAACGACCAUUUUCAAUAAUACCGAAGGCUAACACCUACGGAUUUUUGACCAAAAAAUGGUCUCCACCAGAAAUCCAAGAAUGUGAUCUAUGGCAAGGAAACAUAU
Molecule: long non-coding RNA, 30061 nt
Filed under: Zea mays
Lineage: Eukaryota; Viridiplantae; Streptophyta; Magnoliopsida; Poales; Poaceae
Description: long non-coding RNA (ZMAY_LNC003437)
Source: RNAcentral